UAGGCGUAAAUGAUGCGAGUUAAGUGUGGGGGCAUCUACGAGAUGGCCCUGUGCUGUAGGGUAGCCGUUAAACUCGCUGCCUGGGGAGUACGGUCGCAAGGCUGAAACUUAAAGGAAUUGGCGGGGGGAGGCACCACAACGGGUGGAGCCUGCGGUUUAAUUGGACUCAACGCCGGGAAGCUCACCGGAUAAGACAGCGGAAUGAUUGCCGGGCUGAAGACCCUGCUUGACAAGCUGAGAGGUGGUGCAUGGCGUGUGACUG
Molecule: ribosomal RNA, 262 nt
Filed under: uncultured archaeon
Lineage: Archaea
Description: partial 16S ribosomal RNA
Rfam family: Archaeal small subunit ribosomal RNA
Source: RNAcentral